CUCCCCUCCAAUUUGAAAUCAAAUCUCUAAACUUAUUUAAAGAGUUCAAAUCAUUUAUCACCUGAAUCAUUAUUAAUUAAUUUUUUAAUUGUAAGGUGCUGCAGUGUACUAGUCCUUUCGAAAAUUUAAAAAGACAAUUAGCUUGUAUGGUGCUCUUCGAUUUUUUUUUUUAUUUCAUCAAAAUAUAACUAAAGCAAAUGUGU
This 203-nucleotide long non-coding RNA is filed under the name Medicago truncatula (barrel medic). RNAcentral's name for it is "lncRNA gene28342". Lineage: Eukaryota; Viridiplantae; Streptophyta; Magnoliopsida; Fabales; Fabaceae. The record is from RNAcentral.